Molecule: ribosomal RNA, 650 nt
Filed under: uncultured eukaryote
Lineage: Eukaryota
Description: bacterial SSU rRNA
Rfam family: Eukaryotic small subunit ribosomal RNA
Source: RNAcentral
GAACUUCUGGCUGUUGCGGUUCAUGGCUUCGGUCGGGAUCGUAGUUGUCAUCCGCUUGGGAAUUCCGUUCGAACUUCACUGUUCGGCGGAGGGAACAGGCAUUUUACUUUGAAAAAAUUAGAGUGUUCAAGGCAGGCUAUCGCCUGAAUACACAAGCAUGGAAUAAUGAAAUAGGACUAGUUCCAUUUUAUUGGUUAUUGGAAUUAGUAAUGAUUAAUAGGGACAGUUGGAGGCAUUAGUAUUUAAUUGUCAGAGGUGAAAUUCUUGGAUUUAUUAAAGACUAACUUAUGCGAAAGUUUGCCAAGGAUGUUUCAUUAAUCAAGAACGAAAGUUAGGGAUCAAAGACGGUCAGAAUACGUCUUGGCUUUACUUUUAACUAUACCGACUAGGGAUUGGCCGGGAUUUUUUAAACCGGUCAGGACCUAUGGGAUUCAAAGGCUAUUGGGUCUGGGGGGAGUUGGGCGAAGGCUUGAAAUUAAAGGGAUUGGAGGAAGGGCACACCAGGGAGUGGGAGGCUGCGGUUUAAUUUGGAUCCACACGGGGGAACUUUCCAGGUCCAGAAUAAGUGGGAUUGGCAGAUUGAGAGCUCUUUUCUUGGAUUCUAUGGGUGGGGGUGCAUUGGCCGUCCUUUAGUUGGUGGAGGGAUUUUG